Gasterosteus aculeatus aculeatus (three-spined stickleback) is the source of this 1626-nucleotide non-coding RNA. The record is from RefSeq and is a predicted model, not a curated record. Lineage: Eukaryota; Metazoa; Chordata; Actinopteri; Perciformes; Gasterosteidae.
GGCGGGACGUUUAGGACGUUUCCUCUUUUUUUUUUUUUUUAAUCGUCAUCGACCCAUGGACCUGUUUGUUGUCGAGUAAGAUGGAGUUCCUUCUGGGAAACCCUUACAGCACCCCGGUGGGGCAUUGCAUCGAGAGAGCCACCGAUGGCUCUCUGCAAAAUGAAGACUGGACUCUUAACAUGGAAAUCUGUGAUCUAAUCAAUGAGACCGAGGAUGGGCCAAAGGAUGCGAUUAGAGCCGUGAAGAAGAGGCUGAAUGGCAACAGGAACUACAGAGAAGUGAUGUUGACUUUAACGGUCCUGGAGACGGGUGUGAAAAACUGCGGCCAUCGCUUCCACGCUUUGGUCACCAGCAGGGACUUUGUGGAUGGCGUGCUCGUGAAAAUCAUCUCCCCUAAAAACAACCCGCCUACAAUAGUUCAAGACAAAGUACUUGCACUUAUUCAGGCGUGGGCUGAUGCCUUCAGGAGCAGUCCAGACCUUACAGGUGUGGUCCAAGUUUAUGAAGAGCUAAAGAGGAAAGGGAUUGAGUUCCCCAUGUCGGACCUAGAGACCCUGUCGCCUAUACACACGCCCCAGCGGUUGGCUUCUGCUCCGGAGGGCGACUCCACCCUGCAUAAGUUCAGCGGCUCUCCUCAGCCCCCACCACAGGUGGUCCCACCUGCCUACAUCGCCCCUCAGGUUCCCGUCGUCCCGGCCUCUGGAUCCAUCAAUCCCACAUCUGAGCAGAUCUGCCGGCUGCGCAGCGAACUGGACGUCGUCCGUGGAAACACUAAGGUGAUGUCAGAGAUGUUGACUGAGAUGGUCCCAGGACAGGAGGACGCUUCCGACUAUGAGCUGCUGCAGGAGCUGCACAGGACUUGUAGAUCCAUGCAGCAGAGGAUAGUGGAGCUCAUCUCUUGUGUUUCCAAUGAGACGGUGACUGAGGAGCUGCUGCACGUCAACGAUGACCUCAACAACAUCUUCCUACGCUACGAAAGGUAUGAGAGGUUCAGGUCUGGGAGGUCCUCUGCUCAGACCGUCAACAAUGGGCUGACACAGGUGUUGAGUGAGGCCACCGAGGACAACCUCAUCGACCUCGGCCCAGGCUCCCCAGCAGUGGUCAGCAACAUGCAGAACGCCCCCCCAGCCAGCCUGCCCCCCGCCGCCGCCGCCGCCCACGCAGCAAGGCCCUCCUCCCCGGCCACCUUGGCCUCCCGCCUGGCCGGCCUCGACGUCGGCGCCGACAGCGUCAGCAGCACCUUGAGCUUUCUGUCCAGCUGUAAGUCCCCCGCCGGCCAGGACGACUUCGACGUCUUCGCUCAGACGAGGACCGGCGCUCUGCCUGAGACGCACAAGACCGCCGCAGCCGCAGGAGAAGAAGAAGAGGGCAACGCCUGCGAGGGCCGCCCCCCCCACCCUGGAUGUGCAUCAGCCCGCAGCAGAAGCGGCCGCCGGAGGCCGGGCCGCUGUCAUGGAUGACAUAGAGGAGUGGCUCUGUACUGAUGUGCAAGGGGACGAAGUUGAAGAAGGCGUGACGAGUGAAGAGUUCGACAAGUUCCUGGAGGAGAGGGCCAAAGCGGUGGAGAAGGUCCCCAGCUUGCCGUCGCCCCCCAGCGGCGAGCCGGGGGCAGCACAGGGAACCCCC